Molecule: ribosomal RNA, 500 nt
Filed under: uncultured bacterium
Lineage: Bacteria
Description: partial 16S ribosomal RNA
Rfam family: Bacterial small subunit ribosomal RNA
Source: RNAcentral
AUUGAACGCUGGCGGAAUGCUUUACACAUGCAAGUCGAACGGCAGCACGGACUUCGGUCUGGUGGCGAGUGGCGAACGGGUGAGUAAUGUAUCGGAACGUGCCCAGUCGUGGGGGAUAACGUAGUGAAAAUUACGCUAAUACCGCAUACGAUCUAUGGAUGAAAGCGGGGGAUCGCAAGACCUCGCGCGAUUGGAGCGGCCGAUAUCAGAUUAGGUAGUUGGUGGGGUAAAGGCCCACCAAGCCAACGAUCUGUAGCUGGUCUGAGAGGACGACCAGCCACACUGGAACGGAGACACGGUCCAGACUCCUGCGGGAGGCAGCAGUGGGGAAUUUUGGACAAUGGGCGAAAGCCUGAUCCAGCCAUGCCGCGUGCAGGAUGAAGGCCCUCGGGUUGUAAACUGCUUUUGUACAGAACGAAAAGGUUUCUACUAAUACUAGGAGCUCAUGACGGUACUGUAAGAAUAAGCACCGGCUAACUACGUGCCAGCCGCCGCCGUAA